GAAACGAGGAGGGAGCUGGGGGCCAGUGAAAUGGUCAACAGAUGAGGUCAUAGUUGAAACUGGACAGAAAGGGAGGGAAAGUAAUUUUGCCAAAGAGGUCAGUAAGAAGUCAGAAGUCAUUGAGUUCAGGAUGGGUCAGUAUCCAGGAAUGGGGGAGGAAGAUAAGAAGAGGCUGGACGGAUAUGAAGCAUGAAUCAAGAAAAGUGAAAAAGGAGGGAAAUGAAGGCAAAGCUAAAAGCUACUAACAGAAUGAGUUCACCCAUGCCCAAUUUAAUUCACGUGAUUUAAAAAAGCAUUUGCUACAAGUAGCUUGGCAUAGUGAAGAGAGAGCUGGUCUCCGAGGUCAGGAAGACCAGAUUCAAGGACUGCCAAAUCCACAUACCUGGGAGCCUGGGGAAGGCACAUAUCUUCUCAAUGUCUUAGACAUCUCUAAGAGCAUGAGUGGCAGAAUUAAGGGCUGGUCUGCAAUGCUAGAGGGAGAUUCUUACUGGGUGACUGACUGCUGCCUAUACCAAUCAAAUCAUGCAUGUCUGGUCAAAAAUGAAAAGGCAUUUGUUAAACAUCUACUGCAUGCUAGAUGCUAAGAAUACAAAAACAAAUGAAACAGCCUCUGCCCAUGAAAAGCUUAGAUUCUGCUGGGGAGGAGGGGGAGAAAGGGAGAAAAUAUACACAGAGAAAAAUUCCUAAAUGAAAACCAUUUAUUCAACGACAUGAGAGGAUCAUCAAUGACUUGCUGUGGAAACUGAGGUGGCGGAAUAGAAGCAAACAUCUGCCACUGGGGCAACCGGCCAAUGGUGCUGAAUAAGACAGUGCACCUUUGAACAAUACCCUCCUCUCAUGCAAGCUCUCUUCAAGCCAAGACUAAGGGUCGAGCCCUGGGACCACCAUACAUUUCAAUGGAAGGUUAAUCUUUUUAUUGCCCAAGGAAAGAAAUCCAGCAAUUCUGCAGCAGAGCUAACAGGGAACCAUCUCUUAUUGAAGUGUCACUCUGCCUGGAACAGUCACUGGCAUAUCGUCACCACCUACUGGCAUUGAAUGAAUUUCUUUGUAAAGCCUUCCAUUAGGAGCCCUUGCACUCUGAGUUGCUUUUCCUCGGAUUUGCACUGAUCCAUCUCUUCUACAUGACCCCCUUUUCCUUCAUCCUGCUGCCAACUCCCAUGUCAACAGCAUAUUGUAGCCGUCCUAGCCCACACUGGCCAUACACGCUGCCCUGACCUGAAGCUUUGAAUUGUUUGUGUGCCUUGUCUUUUGUACCUUCCAAUACUUACGUAAAAAAAAAAAUCAACUAAUGAUCAACUACUAUAUGUCAACUACUAUUCUAAGUCCUGGGGAUAGGGAAAAAAAAAACCCAUGAAAGACAGUCCUUGCCCUUGUAGAACAUGUCACAAUCAAAUGGGGGAGACACCAUUGAUAACUAUGUCUAAACAAACUAUGUACAAGAUAAAUAGGAAGUAAUAAGCAAAGAAAAGGAAGGAAAAGUAGGAGGGUUUGGGAAAGGCUUCCUCUAGAAGGUGGGAGGUGUGGAGAAGCAGCCUGGUAUGGAGGAUACAGCCCUCGAUUUAGACUCAGGAAGAUCUAAUUUUAUAUCCAACUUCAGAUACUUAUGCAAUUCCAGACAAGUCAUUUAACCUCUCCAUGCCUCAGUUUUGUCAUUUGUAAAAUAAGGGCAUUGGAUUUGAUGACCUCAGAGGUUCCUUCCAGCUCUAAAUCUAUGAUCUCAUGUUAGAGGUCCUAGUUCCCCCUGAAGGAGAAUGUUUACCUCUGCUAUAGUGCUGGUCUCCAAUAAAGGAUCUGGGAAAGGAUCA
Long non-coding RNA from Monodelphis domestica (gray short-tailed opossum), 1805 nucleotides. The record is from Ensembl. NCBI's taxonomy places the organism in Eukaryota, Metazoa, Chordata, Mammalia, Didelphimorphia, Didelphidae.